This 253-nucleotide ribosomal RNA is filed under the name uncultured bacterium. RNAcentral describes it as "partial 16S ribosomal RNA". It matches the Rfam family "Bacterial small subunit ribosomal RNA", at positions 524 to 776 of the family's 1533-position model. The record is from RNAcentral.
UACGUAGGGCGCAAGCGUUGUCCGGAAUUAUUGGGCGUAAAGAGCUCGUAGGCGGCUUGUCACGUCGGGGGUGAAAGCCCGGGGCUUAACCCCGGGUCUGCAUUCGAUACGGGCUAGCUAGAGUGUGGUAGGGGAGAUCGGAAUUCCUGGUGUAGCGGUGAAAUGCGCAGAUAUCAGGAGGAACACCGGUGGCGAAGGCGGGUCUCUGGGCCGUAACUGACGCUGAGGAGCGAAAGCGUGGGGAGCGAACAGG